Molecule: long non-coding RNA, 458 nt
Filed under: Ixodes scapularis (black-legged tick)
Lineage: Eukaryota; Metazoa; Arthropoda; Arachnida; Ixodida; Ixodidae
Description: uncharacterized LOC115315301, transcript variant X1
Source: RNAcentral
AGAAAUGGAAUGAAAGAAUGUUUUGUGACAAUAGUUGGGGUCAUUUUUCUUUAAAAGUCUUACUUCCAACUUUCAGAAAGGCACAAGCAUUGGAGACCAGCUGCCUUCACAAUCAUGCCCCCCCGCCCCUUUCCUGGUAGUUGCUGUCGUUGUACCAAAAAGUGCAUAAGAGUGGAAGUUACUUAACCAUCGUUUCAAUCCUGGGGACAUUGAGUCAUUGCUAACCAGGGCCCGUCACUGCUAGCCAAAACAAGACUUCAUAGGUGCAUAUCAGAUGCCCGUCGCAGGUGUGUCAGCCUGUGACCAACUGGGAAAGCAGAUGCAGCUCGCCUCAAAGAAAUGCAUCAUCAACAUGCACGAGCUGCUUCAGAGACUGAGACUGAGAAGAAAUCAGCCAAAACAAACCUCUAAGACACUGGGGGGCGAGGCAAAGGACGGAAGUAUGUGAAAAAAAAAAA